This 256-nucleotide ribosomal RNA is filed under the name uncultured bacterium. Its description in RNAcentral is "partial 16S ribosomal RNA". It matches the Rfam family "Bacterial small subunit ribosomal RNA", at positions 524 to 776 of the family's 1533-position model. The record is from RNAcentral.
UACGUAGGUGGCAAGCGUUGUCCGGAUUUACUGGGGCGUAAAGGGCGUGCAGGCGGUCUGCUAAGUCUAGGGUGAAAGCUCCCGGCUCAACUGGGAGAGGUCCUUGGAUACUGGCGGACUUGAGGGAGGUAGAGGAGAGUGGAAUUCCCGGUGUAGUGGUGAUAUGCGUAGAUAUCGGGGAGGAACACCAGUGGCGAAGGCGGCUCUCUGGCCCGGAACUGACGCUGAGACGCGAAAGCGUGGGGGAGCAAACAGG